CCCUUAGAUGUUCUGGGCUGCACGCGCGCUACACUGAAGCGUUCAACGAGUAUUCACCUUGCCCGGGAGGGUUGGGUAAUCUUUUGAAAACGCUUCGUGAUGGGGAUAGAUUAUUGCAAUUAUUAAUCUUCAACGAGGAAUUCCUAGUAAGCGCGAGUCAUCAGCUCGUGCUGAUUACGUCCCUGCCCUUUGUACACACCGCCCGUCGCUCUUACCGAUUGAGUGAUCCGGUGAAUAAUUCGGACUGCAGCACUGCUUGGUCUCCAGGCUUUGCAGCGGAAAGUUUAGUGAACCUUAUCACUUAGAGGAAGGAGAAGUCGUAACA
This 325-nucleotide ribosomal RNA is filed under the name uncultured eukaryote. RNAcentral describes it as "partial 18S ribosomal RNA". It matches the Rfam family "Eukaryotic small subunit ribosomal RNA", at positions 1470 to 1796 of the family's 1831-position model. The record is from RNAcentral.